ACUUUCUCAAAUCCAUUUAGUGCGUGGUUUUCCUCCUCCUGACCUCCUCUAGCAAUACAUGCAGAACGCCAGAAGUCCAGAACUGGUCUAGUAUGCGAAACAUGUCAUCCAAGCUUAGAAAAUCGAAUGGGUUUUAACAGGUCUGGAAUCAAAUGAGCUUUCAGUUACUGUUUUUUCAUCUUCUUCUCUAGAUCGGUAAUUCCGGUUAACAACCGACGCCAAACCGAUAUUUUCAGCAACCGACUGGUCGGGAUACCGAUUUUUUGGAUCGGUUACGGUUUGGAAAUCUCUAUACCAAAGAAGAUUGGCUCGGUAGCUGGUUUGGAACUAAAGAGUCGGUUACCGUACCGGUUCCAGCCCUACUAAGACCAACUUCAACUUCACUUCGAAGCCAUUGUCUCCAAACUUUAAAGUUCGUAUAUCAUGGACUUCAUCACUCCUUUGACGACUCUCCAGCGAAGCAUAUAGAGUAUAAAUGAGGUUAAGUUAUGUGUCUAACAAAUAUUGAGAUAUAACAAAAUUAGUUUUCCCUUUCUCUUUGUCGUUGUUUUCUUCUUCUAGCUUAAGGGUUUUGCUUAGUCAUUGUUGCUUCAGUUUUGAAGCUUCAACAUAAUGACAAUGAUUUUCAAGUUUGUGAUGAUGCAAGACUUUACUAGGAUUUUGCUACUUUCCUAAUGCAGUUGGGAAUUGGAAUUGGUAAGCAGUGUACAUCCUGUGGUGUCAUUUUCUCUUUUCUAAUCACAUUCAUGUCUAGAA
This is an RNA transcript of Fragaria vesca subsp. vesca, 756 nucleotides long. RefSeq lists it as uncharacterized. Lineage: Eukaryota; Viridiplantae; Streptophyta; Magnoliopsida; Rosales; Rosaceae. The transcript is spliced from 2 exons. The record is from RefSeq and is a predicted model, not a curated record.